Long non-coding RNA from Eriocheir sinensis (Chinese mitten crab), 1528 nucleotides. RefSeq lists it as uncharacterized. The transcript has 7 exons. Lineage: Eukaryota; Metazoa; Arthropoda; Malacostraca; Decapoda; Varunidae. The record is from RefSeq and is a predicted model, not a curated record.
GAUGAUGACCUGUUGCUGACGACCUGCCAGCACGGGGCAGUGCAGGCCGAGAAGAGGAUGCAUUGUGAAGGUGUUGUGUCCUGAGGCCGCAGCGGGAACCAGAAGGAAAGUGUGACGCAUCUCACGGCACACCUUGGCCUGCACCUCGUCCCUCCCUGCAGGUGCAUGGUGCCCAACGGGACGCUUCACCUCACCUGGGUCAACGCCCGGAGCAGACUGAUGAAGGCAUCCACCAGUGCCUCCCUGGGUGUGGGCACCUUCAUAUCCACCCGCGCCAUGCUCAGCAUUGUUUGGACCUGGACACACUGUUCUGCGGCACCACCAGCAGCAGCCUGCACAUCCAUGGCCUGCAGGAGGAGGACGAGGGGACGUACAGGUGCCGUGCGGAGAACAGGGAGAACUCGCUCGACGCCGUGGCCCACAUACAGGUCCAAGUUGCUCCGAGGUUUCUGAGGCAGCCGGCCAACGCCCUCGCCUAUGAAAAGGAGCACGUGGAGCUGAAGUGCAGCGUGUAAGGCCAGCCUGAGCCCUCGCUCCACUGGCUUAAGAACGGCGAGCUGCUGGUGGAGACGGAAUACCUUCAGAGUGUGAGCGGCAACAACCUGGAGAUCCAUGGCCUGGUGCGCCAGGACUCCGGGAUGUACCAGUGUGUGGCGCACAGCUCCGCCGGGGACGCCCAGCUGUGUGUCCUUGAGUCAAAGAACGCGUCCAGAACGUGAGUGCAGCUCCUCCAGCGAGGGACUGGAUGAAUACAAGACCCAGAUCAGCGACCUAAGUCCCGGGAGUAACUGCAUGGUGCGGGUGGCGGCCUACACCUCCGGCGGCCUGGUGGGCGCCUCCAUACACGAGGUGCGGGUGUUCACCAAGCCGGACCUGGACCUGCCCUCCGCCCCAGAGUCUGAAAGUUGUCCCCACCUCACCCACCAGUCUGGGUGUCACUUGGUCGCCGCCCGUACUGGCCAAAACGCCCAUCACGGGAUACACCAUGUUCUAUAUGCAGAUGUGGACGGCCUUAUAGAACUGUGUGCUAAAUGUGGAGUCCCUGUUGCCUAACAAAAGUCUUCCCAUAUCCUUGUGUGUCAUUAGUGACCUUCCUUUGAGUACAGGGUAACCAUAGCCGUGUGUUUGUACAAGUGCCAGUGUGUAUCUUAGCCAUUGUCUCCCUUGUAAUUUUCUCCUCAGGUUGGGUCAGCAGAAGAACACGAGGUAGAGGUCACUGGUACGUCAUAUGACCUCCAAGGCCUGGACCAGUUCACUGAGCAUAGCGUAUGGCUCACCGCCGUCAACAGUAAUGGCGGGGGAGACGCCACCCCGGAGGUCACUGCCAGAACCUUCUCAGACGUGCCCUCAAAGGAGCCUCAGAAUGUGAGCGUUGAGGCUGCCAGCUCAAGGAGCCUCAUCAUCUGCUGGGAGCCUCCGCUGGCCGAGCACCAGAAUGGGAUCAUCACCAGCUGCAAGAUCCCCGACAAGGAGCUCGGCGAGUCAGGUUCCUCCAAAACCAAAGCAACAGACGGAAACAGACGACUCU